This 331-nucleotide ribosomal RNA is filed under the name Nonomuraea phyllanthi. Its description in RNAcentral is "bacterial SSU rRNA". It matches the Rfam family "Bacterial small subunit ribosomal RNA", at positions 1 to 338 of the family's 1533-position model. Lineage: Bacteria; Bacillati; Actinomycetota; Actinomycetes; Streptosporangiales; Streptosporangiaceae. The record is from RNAcentral.
UUGGAGAGUUUGAUCCUGGCUCAGGACGAACGCUGGCGGCGUGCUUAACACAUGCAAGUCGAGCGGAAAGGCCCUUCGGGGUACUCGAGCGGCGAACGGGUGAGUAACACGUGAGUAACCUGCCCCUGACUCUGGGAUAAGCCCGGGAAACUGGGUCUAAUACCGGAUACGACCAUUCCACGCAUGUGGUGGUGGUGGAAAGUCUUUUCGGUUGGGGAUGGGCUCGCGGCCUAUCAGCUUGUUGGUGGGGUAGUGGCCUACCAAGGCGACGACGGGUAGCCGGCCUGAGAGGGCGACCGGCCACACUGGGACUGAGACACGGCCCAGACUC